AUGAACGGCUGGCGGCGUGCCUAAUACAUGCAAGUCGAGCGAACAGACGAGGAGCUUGCUCCUCUGACGUUAGCGGCGGACGGGUGAGUAACACGUGGAUAACCUACCUAUAAGACUGGGAUAACUUCGGGAAACCGGAGCUAAUACCGGAUAAUAUAUUGAACCGCAUGGUUCAAUAGUGAAAGACGGUUUUGCUGUCACUUAUAGAUGGAUCCGCGCCGCAUUAGCUAGUUGGUAAGGUAACGGCUUACCAAGGCAACGAUGCGUAGCCGACCUGAGAGGGUGAUCGGCCACACUGGAACUGAGACACGGUCCAGACUCCUGCGGGAGGCAGCAGUAGGGAAUCUUCCGCAAUGGGCGAAAGCCUGACGGAGCAACGCCGCGUGAAUGAUGAAGGUCUUCGGAUCGUAAAACUCUGUUAUUAGGGAAGAACAAAUGUGUAAGUAACUAUGCACGUCUUGACGGUACCUAAUCAGAAAGCCACGGCUAACUACGUG
This 497-nucleotide ribosomal RNA is filed under the name uncultured Staphylococcus sp. RNAcentral's name for it is "bacterial SSU rRNA". It matches the Rfam family "Bacterial small subunit ribosomal RNA", at positions 35 to 507 of the family's 1533-position model. The record is from RNAcentral. Lineage: Bacteria; Bacillati; Bacillota; Bacilli; Caryophanales; Staphylococcaceae.